Molecule: long non-coding RNA, 1437 nt
Filed under: Chlamydomonas reinhardtii
Lineage: Eukaryota; Viridiplantae; Chlorophyta; Chlorophyceae; Chlamydomonadales; Chlamydomonadaceae
Description: long non-coding RNA (CREI_LNC000466)
Source: RNAcentral
UGCACGGCAUGGGCACCAAGGCGCUGGAGGAGAUCGGCGCCGGUGACCAGGGCCACAUGUUCGGCUACGCCACUGACGAGACCCCCGAGCUGAUGCCCCUGACCCACGUGCUGGCCACCCAGCUGGGCUACAAGCUGACUGAGGUCCGCAAGAACGGCGUCUGCCCGUGGCUGCGCCCUGACGGCAAGACCCAGGUGAGCUGCCUUUCGCUGAGGGCCAAGCGUUUUCUAUAAUGGCGGAGACUGCAAGGGCCAGGGUGGUUUCCCGACCUCCAUGGCGCUCAGCAAUGCUAGGCAUCGCGACCAUGAAUUCCCAUUUACUGUCUCCCCAAUCGGUGCUGCCAUCGCCUCCUGACAGGUCACCGUGGAGUACAAGCGCGAGGGCGGCGCCAUGAUUCCCCAGCGCGUGCACACCAUCCUGAUCUCGACCCAGCACAACCCCGAUGUGACCAACGAGAAGAUUCGUGAGGACCUGAUGGAGCACGUGAUCAAGCCCGUGGUGCCGGCCAAGUACCUGGACGACAAGACCAUCUUCCACCUGAACCCCUCGGGCCGUUUCGUGAUUGGUGGCCCCCACGGCGACGCCGGUCUGACUGGCCGCAAGAUCAUCAUCGACACCUACGGCGGCUGGGGUGCCCACGGUGGUGGCGCCUUCUCGGGCAAGGACCCGACCAAGGUCGACCGCUCGGGCGCCUACAUCGCCCGCCAGGCCGCUAAGUCCGUCGUUGCGUCGGGCCUGGCCAAGCGGUGAGUGGGUAGCAGCUGGCAACUGUUUGGAAUGGUCAUGGAACCGAAGGGCUAUGGCAAGCGGGCCAGGAUUGGUAUUGUCAUCGUCUGAUGUGCCAUACGAGUUUGGCCUAACCUCGUGUCCGCACCAUGGCUCUGUCUCCUCCGCGUAACCUCUUGUCCUCGCCAUGGUUCCGUCUCCUCCGCCCCUGCAGCUGCCUGGUCCAGGUGUCGUACUCGAUCGCUGUGGCUGAGCCCCUGUCGGUGUUCGUUGACACCUACGGCACCGGCACCAUGCCCGAUGCCGAGAUCCUGAAGCUGAUCCGGAAGCACUUCGACUUCCGCCCCGGUGAGAACUGCUGUUGUGAGGGCUUACCCAGACUCAUGCGGUUCUGCUGUGGAUUCAAGGCUUUGAUGCUGACUCGCAGUGAUGGGAAUCUGUGGGACACCUGCAUGCAGUCCAAAGCGCAGAUCGCAUUGUGCAGUUUGCCUUGAUGCGCUCCGGUUUCCACCCAUCGAUUUUCCCAUGCACAGGCCUCAUCGGCAAGAACCUGGACCUGAAGCGCGGUGGCAACAAGCGGUACCAGAAGACGGCCGCUUACGGCCACUUCGGCCGCGACGAUCCCGACUUCACCUGGGAGACCGUGAAGAAGCUGGAGUAAGCGCGCUGCGUGCGUGCGCUCUGUCUGAUGAAGGAGCAUGGGCGUAGUGC